UGUAUGUUACAUAGAACGAUCUCAUAUUGAAACUUUGUUUUCUGACAAGUUUCUCUUAAUUAAAAAUAAACCACUUUUCACCACGGAACCCCUGGCUCCUGGCUCCAUGAAAAACCCCACCAAAUGGCAAAAAUAAUGGGAAUUUGCAAAUCCCGUGGAUCCUCCAAUCCUUUAACCCCCCUUGGCCCCUUUGGUAAUUCCAAGGGCCUGGCUGGUUUAAAAUCCUUUAAUUUCCCACCUUUACAAUUUUUGGAAUUGGCCAGGGUUGGAUGGUAAAAUUUCUGGGUAAAAUAAAAUCCGGCCGGCUCCCUUUUAAACCAAUAAGAACUUGUAAAAUGGCCUACGGUGGUGUGAUAUAUGUCUACGCCCUAUACCGAAAGGGAAUUCUAGCUGUAUGUACUACUUAUAAAUCAUGCGCAUAUAUCUAGCAUAUAAGUGCAUAUAUUGACAAUUUGACCUCAAUCAGUAGGACUACCCGCUGAACUUAGCAUAUCAUACCCGCACGAAAAGAACGCUUACGGAAAUCAAUCUUCGGAGGAAUUU
This 543-nucleotide ribosomal RNA is filed under the name Agroathelia rolfsii. Its description in RNAcentral is "eukaryotic LSU rRNA". The stretch from base 72 to 225 matches the Rfam family "5.8S ribosomal RNA". The record is from RNAcentral. Lineage: Eukaryota; Fungi; Basidiomycota; Agaricomycetes; Amylocorticiales; Amylocorticiaceae.